GGAAGGGAAAGUGGUCAAGAACAGGUAUGUGAGGGGUGGGUGGUGGGAUGGAGAGGCUCUGCCCUUGCAUCACAUCUUGCUAAGCAAGAAUGGGGCUCUGCAAGGCAGUGCAGGGUGUCAGUUUAUGGAUCUGGAGAGUCUUUAGAGCUGCCAUCUUGUUUUAAACUGGGUGUCCUCUGCGUCAGCCUGAACGGGAGCGACAGCAAUAAAUCAUGUAUCCAACAGCAGCAUUCAAGAUGUUAGUUGUGUUUUGGUAGCACGGGGGCUCGGGGUUUGUGGCACUAGAUGCUCUGUAAGACCAAAGUAGGAAAUGUUUCACACUCGGGGUAUUUUACAGUUUGAGUCUCAGAAGAUGUAUUAGCACUUGGAAGGAUGACAAUGAAGCCAGCAAUGAGAACUUGGGUUUAUAUAGGCCAGAUAUUUGCACAGUCACAAUAGAUGAUUCCUCUGCUUCUCUUGGGUAUUUCUAAUCUCCAAGUAUGGUAGUCCAAGUGCUUUACAAGUCACUGAGUCUGAAAAAGACUUGACCAAACAUUUUUCAGUGGAAAUAUCUCCACUCCUAUGCAAUGACAUUAGCUGAAGAUACAUGGAAACAGAAAUCAGUUCAAUUCUCAGCCCUUGUGAGCUGGGUAGUGCAUUUAGCUGUGGAGCUGUUCUUCAGGUCAGGGCAUAAUCAUAUCAUGUCAGUCUCCCUGAAAUGGCUGUCUUGGGUUAUUUCCAAGGGUUGCAAGGAGUUCCCUGUCUGCUGGCACUAGACAUGUGGCCUUAUUGAAAUGUCUCCUUCAACAUCCAGAGGCUGCGGUGUGUCACACUGAUACAUGUUUUUACUGUAACACUCACUCAACAGCAGCUCUCUGUGACAGUGCUUUUCUAAUGCACCGACAUCCAAGGAGAUGGAUGCCUGUAUAAUGUUACUUUCGUUUGCAUAGCUGGUCUGAUAAAAUGAAUAUCCUCCCACAAAGACAUUAUGUGAGUGGCUUAUGACAGCAUGCAGGAUUAUGAACUUCAGUGCUUAUUCUACCCAGGAUACAUACAUCCCAUGGAUGUCCUGUUGCAAGCAUUUAUUCUGGAAAUGAAUGGCUGUAUGUGGUGUGCACAAAAGGAUGAAUCACUUGUGCUUGGUCACAAAUGUGAAGGAAGAGGUACUCAGGGUCUGUCCGAGGUUAGAGGAUAAGCAGGGGAAAUUUUCAAUGCAAUAAACCUAAAGAAUAAUUAGCGAUUUCUAGGAUCAUUUUGGUGGCUUCUUUGGGUUGGAAAUGCCUUCAAAAGCACUUAGCAAAAUUUUCUGUCUAGUCAAUACUAUUUCAUAUGGGUAGCAUUUGCUAGGCAAACAGAUGUGAGAUUUUUAUGCAGUCAGCUUCUGUCUCUCCCGCUAUCAGGCAUGGUCUUUGCUUGUUUGUGCACAAUGCCAUGGUUUCUCAUCCACUUUGUGUCUGAGUACACUACCUGCAGCUGGUCAACCUGAUUUGGGAUUUACCGUGUGCCUGCCAGCCCGGAGAAGACAUGAGCCCUGCUAGAGGAUGCACUUGUAAGGGUUCACCAGUGACAGAGGACCAAGCGUACAUGCAAAUCUCACUUCUUUGUGUGAGGUGAUCUUCAAUGCUGUGGGAGGAGAAAAUAAAAAGAUAUGUGGAAAGCACAAAAUGAACGAGUCAGCUAUACUGUGGCAAACCAUAAUCCGGCCAGGAGAAUACAGGAAGAGAAGGACUUUUUAAGCUUGACUUUUUUUUUUUUAAUUUUUAAAAAAUAUAUGCUUCUCUGAACAGCUAUUUUAUAAUGAAACAAUAAUUGCAAAGUUGUUUAUGGUGCCCAUAAACACACAUAUACCUAUACAUGGUGUAUAAGGGCCUGACCCAAGUCAAUUUGGUCUGCAGAGUUGUGUGCAAGCUUGUACUGGCUGGGGGAUUUGCAGUCUCUUUCAUAUUGCAUAAGCAGUAUUUGUAGAGGUUACCUUUUGCCCAGAAAGGUUAAUUCCUCUAGGCUCCUGCUCUGGUAAAGGGGAACAGAGGAGGUCCUCCUAGGUGCAAUCUGGAGCGGCAGUGGUAUGGGAGAGCUUUUCUAUCAACAGUGAGGGUCGAGGCUGCUGUGAGCCUGAGUCAGCACCCUUCACAGGGAGAUGUGAACUCGGAGAGGCCAAGUUGUUGUUUUCUGUUUUUUUUUUUUUUUUUUUUUUUUAGAGAGACAUGCAUUUGAAGCUAAGCUUCUAAACUCCUAAUUCAGCGUUAAAAACAGACACCUGGCUGUCCCAGCAGCAGGUUGCAGAGGGGCUCUCCUGCUUGCUGCAGGGUGAUCUGAGGUCCUGGGGCUGUGCUGCGUUUUCUCCCGCCUAGAUCCACUCAAAGCUUUGGCUCUGUUUCACAGCUCUUCAUGGAAAUGACUCCUCAUUCUGGUAGGGGUUCAGUCUGUUUCUCAAAUGAUAAUGUAAUCCAGACAUGAACUGGCAGAAAUGUCAUGAGACUUCUCGUUCUUGUGUAUUUCCAGUAUGACUGAGCUCAAAAUAUCCUGAGAAAGGCAGGCUUGGCAUUUUUUCUGAUGAACUGACACUGACCUGAUAGUUUAUUGCGGUUUCUUCCCCAAAAUAUGGUUACAUAGGAAAGAGACCAAAGGAUCCCUUUCCCAUCCCUAGCUUGUUUUCCAGCUGUUAUAAUAUUAAAAACUGUUAUUUUUCCACCCUGUAUUUUAAUAAUUGCUGCUCUAUCAAAAUACAGUUGAAGACCACCUUUAAGCAUAUGUUAAUGUUAACUUAAAACCUAUCUACCUCUGAACCAUGUGUAAGAUAAAUUUCAGGAGUCUUAGUGCACCAGGUAGGAGAAGAAAAAUGGAAGUUUAAUGUAGCUGUCUGAGUACAAAUUCAGAGGGGUCCUUCCUCUCUCAAUAUAUGGGCAGCCUAGCAUGACUUACCUCCUUCUGUGUUGGCACUUAAAUUUACAUCCCAGAGUUGGGCAGAGUGAAUUGCUGCCAUUAUUAUAUUUGUGCCUUGAGACAACAGAACCCUACUUUCUCUCUGCCUCCCUGUUUUGCUCCAGUUGCAGAUAGCGAUUCCUGAUAUAUCCCGAAUGAUGGAGGGACAGAAGGUGUUUCACAGGCUUUUUUCAGUCUUGUCUGUAUGCAAAGUGGAGUACUCAUGUGGCACAAGAACAGCCAUUGGGAAAGAGACUCUGAUGAUGGGCUGGGGUCAAGUACUGUGUUUUCUGAAUCCUCUCACAGCUGGGCAACCUGUGUGCCUGACUUAGUGAGCACAGUUGUUGUGGCCAUCAGGUGAUAGAGAGGGACCUUAACACAGAUCCUGGCCCCUUUGUGUGUAAUCUGCCACUUUUUGGAGGAGGAAAGGCUAAUCUUGACUUUUCUGCCUAACCUAGACAAACUUCCUCAAGAAAGAGAUCCCCUCUUGUGGAAACCAACUAGGAGACACAGGUAAAAAAGAUGACAUAAUUUCUUCAUAUGUCUUUCCAAUGUAGUGAUAAAUAGGUACAGAAAGGUGCAAGUGAUCAAUCUGAAGUCUUGCAGGAAAACUGUAGUAGAGCAAAGAAAAAAUCCUGCUCUUCACCCUCAUAGCACUGACCUCCCUGUGAGCUUCUUGUUUUCAAUCCCUGAACCAGAAUGGCAGCAUUUCACACCACAUAUAUCCAUAUUUUUUUGGAAGAUAUAAGGUAUGAGGCACUGGAAGGCCAGAUUUGCUGUUUUUUUCCAUUUGGGCUGCAUUUGCUGUCUGUCUUUUCUAAUCUUGGCCAGGCAUUUCUGCUGUUCCCAGAUGUUGGUCCUCAGCACCUAACUGCCAAGACACCAGCACAGAUGGGGUCAUAGGUGCUGCUCGGAGAGGAGUUUGGGAAGAAGCUUUCUUCCAGUUUCUACUUCUCCCAAACAUUUCUCAAUGGCAGUGGCAUGUGUGUCACCUAUGGAGGGCUGAGCUGCUUCUUCCACAGAGAAGGAAGUGUGGGAGACAAGCAGGUGAACCUUGUCCUACUGGUUUUGAGCUAGUGGCUGGGCUGAGCUAAUAUUUUGUAUAUGCCUGAUAUAAAGUCAAAUGCAACACUCAGUCAAACAUAUAACUUUAUUUUUAAAAUCAGCUUAGCUUAGGUGUGUUGGUAAUAUCUGGCAAUGACGCUCCACAGAGAGUUGACCUGCUGCAUGCUUGUUAGAAAUGCAGAAAGGACCAUCAGUGCCAAGGCUGCAAAAGCUUUGUACUAUAAAAUAUCAUAGUGUAGCAGGUACAUCGCAAAUCAAUACUACAGAAGAGUUUGAAAUACACUGUGUAGAAAUAUUUACAGACCAUGGAGAUUCAGAAAUAUUGCUGGUGUGGUUGGGGGAAUCAAUACAUGAGGGUAAUUACGAAAUGCCACCUUCUUCUGAGGCAAAAAAUAUAGGUCCCCAUCCUACCUUAAAAGCAGUUACUGUGGACCUUUAUAAAGUUUCACUGAAACCAAUGGGAAAUUUGAGGGGUUUCUUUUCCUCAGCUGAGUUGUCUAACUGCACCCAGUAUUAGGUUACAGAAGUGGGUCCCUUCUAGUUAUUUUAAGGAAAAAAAAAAUCCCAGAAAACAGGAAAACUCUGAGAUGAUAAAUGGCUGGAGUAAUAAAUGUUUAAAACACAGAAAACUUUAGAAAAACCUCUAAAAACAGUUCCUCAGGUUUUCAUCUAGCUCCAGGUUUGAUUCUGGAAAUGCAGGGAUCAAAAUGAAGUAUGUCAUUUAGGAUUUCUUUUUUUCUUUGGAUUUCUGUAGGUCUUAUUUAGUUUUCCCUGCUAAAGCAGAUGUAGGGAUGAUAACACUUCUGAUGGUGUUUCAUUCAUCUCCUUCUAUGACACAGUGACUUGUUUAGUGGAUGAGGGAAAGGCGGUGGAUAUUGUCUACCUAGACUCCAGUAAGGCCUUUGACACUGUUUCCCACAGCAUUCUCCUGGAGAAGCUGGCAGCUCAUGGCCUGGAUGGGUGUACUCUGCAACGGAUAAAGAACUGGCUGGAUGGCUGGGCCCAAAAAAUUGUGGUGAACAGAGUUGAAUCCAGUUGAUGGUUGGUCACAAGUGGUGUUCCCCAGGGCUCAGUAUAGACGCCAGUUCUGUUUAAUCUCUUUAUCAGUGAUCUGGAUGAGGGGAUUGAGUGCACACUUAGUAAAUUUGCAGACAACACCAAGUUGGGUGGGACUGUUGACCUGCAGGAGGGUAGGAAGGCCAUACAGAGGGAUCUGGACUGGCUGGGUCAUUGGGCUGAGGCCAGUUGGAUGAGGUUCAACAAGGCCAAGUGCCGGGUCCUGUACUUGGGUCAUAACAACCCCAGGCAGUGCUACAGGCUGGGGUAAGAGUGGCUGGAAAGCUGCCUGGAGGAAAAGGACUUCAGGGUGUUGGUCAACAGCAGCUGAACAUGAGUCAGUAGUGUGCCCAGGUGGCCAAAAAGGCCAACAGCACCCUGGCUUGUGUCAGGAAUAGUGGGGCCAGCAGGACUAGAGAAGUGAUUGUGCCACUGUACUCGGUGCUGGUGAGGCCCCACAUUGAAUUCUGUGUUCAGUUUUUGGCCCCUCAUCAUCAGACAUUGAGGUGCUGGAGCAAGUUCAGAGAAGGGCAAUGAAGCUGGUGAGGGAUCUGGAGCACAAGUCUUGUGAGGAGCAGUUGAGGGAGCUGGGGCUGUUUAACCUGGAGAAAAGGAGGCUGAGGGGAGACUUCAUCACACCCUGCAACUACCUGAAAGGAGGUUGCAGCAUGGAGGGUGUUGGUCUGUUCUCCCAAGUAGCAAGUGAUAAGAUAAGAGGAAAUGGCCUCAAGUUGCACCAGGGGAGGUUUAGAUUGAUGAUUAAGAAAAAAAUUAUUCACUGAAAGAGUUGUCAGGCAUUGGAACAGGCUGCCCAGGGAAGUGGUGGAAUUACCAUCCCUGGAGGUGUUUAAAAGGCAUGUAGAUGAGGUUCUUGGGGACAUGGUUUAGAGAUGGACUUGACAGUGUUAGGUUAAUGAUUGGAUUCAAUCUUAAAGUUCUUUUCCAGCCAAUAUGAUUCUAUGAUUCUAUAUAGCCUCUACUCAUAGUUGCUGAAUGUGAGUUAUGUGGCCUGUCAAAUAUUUUGGAGAGACUGUAUUUAACUCUUUGGUAGGAGAAGGCAGCUCAUCCCUGCAGUAAACUUACAAGCAGGGUGGAGCUGGAGGCAGCCUGGCCUUGGCUGCUUCAGUUGCUAAAACUCUUUCACACUGUGCAGUAGUGUGGUCUGUGGUUGCUGUCUGGUAAAGUACGGCCUACAGAGGUCAGAUUCCAUGGAGUCCUUUGGUUCUGCAGACACAUGAGAACAUAACAAACAUCAAAUUUGUGCCUCUUCCAUUGGUCUGAAUUUUCUGGAGCAGGGAGAAUAUGGCCUUGAUACCUCCACUGAGAUAAACAAAAGCAAGUUUUAGCUAGUACACAUCAGAAAGUAACAUCUAUUGAGAUUAAUCUGAGCUUAAUGAAGGCUUCCUGACAUCUCCAGUCUCCAUGGCAGAGAGUGCUCUUGUGAUGGUUCUGUGCCAUUAAGCCAAGAGGGAAAUACAUUUUUGCAGGUGCUGCUGACCCCACAAAGGUGCUGGGGGAAUGCAACGCUGCUGUGUGCCCAUGCUGUGAGACAGGAGGAGAGGUCUCUGGGUACUUCCAGGAGAGCCAGUGGCAGUACUUCAUUGAGCAUCCUGCCGCCGUGUGAAGCUUCUCCCAUUAGAGCUGUCACUUUGGCAUUAGUUCUGUCUGACAGCAUGGCAGAGCUGCAGUGAGGUCAUCUACCAGCUAGUGCUCUGAUGUUGCCCAGUCAAGAUGGCACUGCUAGCCUGAUCGAAAUGGUGCCUCAGCAGAGUGUGUUGAAGGGAAGCCAUCUCCAGAGGAUGGAAAAGCCAAAGCUGUGAGGUGGACAGACUUACAAGAGAAAGGGGUGAGUUGUGGGCAUGUGUUGCACCAAGUCUCUUUAGAUGGUAGUUGAAUAAAGAGAAGUUACAGCAGAACCUGCAGGUUUGGAAGCAGCCAAGAAGGAAGAGCCAAAAAAUCUGGAGGCAGCAGAAGCUGAGCUUCUGUGAGCACCAGAGACCAGUCGACCCAGCCCAAGCAUAUUGUUACUGUUUUAUUAAAGGGGUUGAUUUGGAGAAUGUUGUGUUUGCAAUUCAGCAUCAUGCCUUGGAGCCUUGAUUUCAAGCCUUUAUUUAUAUGCUUAAUUGUUGCUAUGGAAAUUCAAUAUUUAAAGAGGUAAUUAUUGCUGAUCUUGUUGCAUGUGUCCAUUUCUGAUGUCCAGCUGUUAGCUCUUUAGCUCCAGUCUAGCAGAUUAAUUACUACUAUUGAUUACUUUGAGCUUCUCUCUUCACACCUGCAGUCUGUGUAAUUAGCCGGUGGCCUCCUCUGAAAAUUAGGAGCAGUUUCAUUUUGGCACCUUGCCAUUUCUCAGCCAUGUGCAUUACACUGAUGAACAAAAGCAAAUCUAUUUUAAAUAGAGAUAUCUGGGCAAUGAACUCUUUGUAUUUUUGAACUAUCUGUGGAUAACUCAAAUUAUACCAUGUUAGCAAAUAUUAGACUCCAUUGGAAGACCACAGAUAGUAAAAAAAACCCCAAAAAACAAAAAACCCCAAAACAAAACAAACAAAAAACCCAAAACCCACAAAAACCCAACAAUUCCAAACCACUGAUAUUUGUUCUGAGUGUCCACCAGUCAGUGGUGUCCUCGCUUUUUGAAGUUUAUUGUCCAUAGUGAUUUUUGCACUAAAUGGGUCCCAACUAUUUGAGUGCAAUCACUUCUACUUUCAACGUGCUUUUCUGAGGUGGAAUUGUUUUUUCCCUGCUCCGUGUGUGAGAUUUUUCCUGCUGUUCUUCCUGGAUGCUACCAGGGCAUGUCAGAGGGACAUUAAGCAGGGGCAUAGGAGGGUGUGCCCAUAUCCGGGAGACCCUUAUCUAUCCUCUCCCUUUCCAAGCACUGUGCUUGUUCCUGGCUAUUUACUGUUUUCCAGUGACCCCCCAAUGACCAUGCCACUUCUUGGAAAGAAAAGCCUGUUCUGAACUUCCCUCCCUUUGCACAUCAAGGAGGAAAAGACUGAGGGUCUGAAGGCUUUGUUUUAAGAAAGAAAAUAUACUACUUUUGCCAAUGGGGUCAUGGCUUCCUCCUCUCCAAAAAGAAACCUUUUCUUUAUGUGAGCCAGGUUGCUAAGCACAGGUCAUGCUAACAUUGUGUGAUUUCAACAGAAGCAGCGUGCUGGGAGAGUGAGGGGUGAACUCUGUCUUUGCUCUCUCUGGGUGAGCAUCCAGUCUAGAUUUAUAGCAGACCAAGGACAGCCCAAAAGCAUGAUAUGGGUGGCCUGUGAACUGAAGUAUGCUGAAAUUCAGUGUUUAGGAACUAACUUUAAUAUUAAUGCUGCGUGACUGGAUGGUCUCCAUGUAUCAGUGGUUUAAUGUGCUGUGGUUCAGGGUGGUGAGUCUCCAGAGUCAAGGUGGCAAUAAAGAUGUGCUCCACUUCACGGGUCAAACGCCAUUCCAAAAGUUGAGAAGUUUUGGGGAAGGGAGGGAAUUAAUCUCUUUUCUGGUUGAGUAACAUAGUUGUUUUAGACUAUUUGGUACAGGACUAGCCUCCAGACCAGAAGGUCCCCAGCUGGAAUCUCAUCACCGCCACUGUUUCUAGAUUAAAUUCUAAAUUGUGUACUGUCAUUUGGAGGCCUUCUGUGCAGGGUCUCACUGAGUCACCAGUUAUUAGGAAUGCCUCCUAUUAUCGCAGCCCUAAAAGCUAUUUGAACAGAAGCCUAAUGUGACUGUGAUUUCCAAGGACCAUUUGCUGUUAUUGCAGCUCUGCUUUGCUGUGAGUGAGAGAAACAAACCAAAGUUGCUUUCAGAUCACAUGAAAGGGAGGGACAGGGAAGCAGUGGAACCAGAGUGACAUUCAAGCUGCCAACAACCAUAAAUUCUCCAAAAAUAAACAAUAUUUUUAUUAACUAGAGCGGGGUGAUUUCCACUGCAAGAAAACGAAUGGGUUAAUUUUCUUCAAGCAGAUACAUUUCCAGGAUUCUGUAAUUCUUCCCAGUUUUCUAAGUAGCUGCAAAAAGCAGCUGCUGAGGAAGUACAUGGAGCCUAUGCACUGCUCCACCCUGUGGGCCAGAGGGACCUCCUCUAUAGAAGUGGAGGACAUACCAGAAAAGCAAAUGUCAGCUCUCUGGGAGAGGAAGGCAGUUACUUGUGCGCACAGAAUGGGAAACUACAAACAUAAAUAUUAUUCUGAAGGCACACAGGUGCAUGUGAGAAGUCUAUAUAAUGUGGGAGAGUUUGGAGUCUGAAUAAUAUAGUUUAGGGGGUGGAUUUCAGAGUGCUCUCGAUUCUAAUUUAUUGCUGUUUUUUUAUAAGACUUCUUAGUCCUAAGUUCCCUCCACUAAAUGAAAGUGGAUUUUUGCCCGAAGAAGGGCUGAUUAAGGUAAUAGUAAAAUAGGUCUUUUGUAAAGGAUUUUAGAAUGUGUGCUGUGAACAGCUUGCUGCUGUUUAGGGGUACUGAUGUGAAAUGGCAUUGAUCCAUUAGAGCUAGUGGUUAAAUGCUGGUUGAAUAUAUGGCCAAAUAUUUGUAUUAGUCCUGGGUAAUACAGUUGUAUACACAACUCAGCCCUGACUAUCCCUUAUCUAGCCUAGUGCUGAGGUAUUUGGCAAGGAUAAGGGGCUACGUCAGAGACACUAUUCAGAGCAUGAGGUGCCAGACGUCUUCUUCAUAUCAGAUGGUCUGCAGCCAGCUGCGCUUGCAGAAGGACAGACGGCUGGUGAGGGAGAAGACAACUGGAAGCUGGGACCAUUACAGGAAGGCAAUGGUGCUGCCAGCUAUUUGCCUUCCCUGUUCCCAGCUGGAUAUAUCCCAUCUAAGAUGCUGCUGUACUGUCUCAAGCAAACAGAUUAGCAAAUGGGAAGGAAGUUCAGCUAGCUGUGGGGUAACAAAUAGGUGGCCAGACAGAAGAGAGAGCAAAUGUCUUUAUGCAUCCAUGUUAUGUAUCCAAGUGUUCACAGCACUUCGAUUUGGCACAGGCUGAGUCAUGGGGGUGCUUUUGUGGCUGUCUUACUGUACUUUGAGAUCUCUGAAAUUUAGGGCUGAAGUUUCAAAGAUUUCAAAGUAGCCAAAAUCCCACCUACUGCAGCAGGGGUCAUGGUCUCUGGCCAGUGAAAGGUGCAGAAAGGUCAUUCCUGUGAUGAUUGUCUUUUGGGUUCAAAGAGUAGCAACUGAUUUAGUUCUGCUGAGAAAUAGCAAACCAGCCUGGAAAAAGUCAGGUCUGCAUGUACAAUGGAACUGGCUUGGCACCAGCUGCCUAUGUUGCAUGAUUUAAACCACCUAUAGGCCUUGCUUUGACCUAACCAAGAUGAAGCCUGGGACAAUUUGCUCCUACCCACACAAGAAGCUGGAUCUCAUGGCUUGGAGGUGCAGGUGAGACAUUCAUUCCCACAUUGAUGAUGAGGCAGACCUACCACACCUAUGGUCUGUGUCUGUAUGGUCUGUGUCUGUGUCAGGGCUAAUGUGCUGAGUAAAAGUGGUGACAAGCUGGAAGACUUCUGGGGCAAUUGCCUUCCUCCUGGAAGAAGAUAAGGUCACUGGUACCACACCUUUGGGGUUGUUGGUAAGAGAAGUGCUCUAUCUACAGCCUGUGACUAAAGCUGUGAUUAAAGGUAAUGAGUGUCUCAUCCUGAAAUAAAAUAAGUUUGCUUAGCUAACCAUUCAAAGGCACCUACUGGCAUUAUCAAAAACUUCUGAGUGGCCAAUUCAAGAGGAUCUGAAUAUGUGCACUUUUAGAGAUUGCCGCUUAUAUAAUUCUGUUGCCUGUAUUUUUAGAUGUGUAAACAGUCUGAUGUGUUGCUGUGCUUAGAGUAUGUUAAAGAUGUGACUUGAACAGCCUAUCACCCUUUCUGAGAGGUCUUGUAAUUCAAUUUCUCAUCAUUGCUGGAGCUUUUUUCCCCAUUUUACUAGAUUGAGAGGUACUGCCUCCUGCCACCAUACACUUGUGUGGCUCUCAACACAGCUAGUUCAGACUGAAGUCCUUUCAAAACACUAGUAAACAGGAAUAAGUGGAUAAGAUAUGUAUGCAAUGACGAAAGUGAGAUGCUCACAGCUGGCAAGUUGUGUAUCAGAGGUUUGUAGAUUUGGAGUGCCCUUUAUUUCUUGACUGUUUGUCUCAGUGCACUGACUUUGUUCAUAUACUAGGUGUUGCAUUUGGCCUUUGGCAUCAGCCUAUGCAACUGUCACUGACUUCAUCUGAAGCUGUGCUGAAGUGCUGUGCUGUGUCAUCUCUUCCUUCCCCAGGAAUUAAGUUGUUUGAAUUGUUAUGUGUGUGAUCCUUCUCCCACCUAAGGACACAAGGUGUUUGCACUUUGUCAGCUUUUUUUUUUUUUUCCUUUAGUCAGUUUUCUUUCAGUCAGGUACAGCUGUGAGAUGCUUUUAAGCCCUGGUUGUGUGUUUUUGUUUUGUUUUGUUUUGUUUUUUCUCUUAUUUUCUUCACCAGUCCCAUAAAAACCUGUUGCCAUUACCGGAUAGGACACAUCUGGGAGCACAGAGCACUCAGGAUAGGCUUUAAUCUCUGAUCUGCAUUUGAGGUGCUUGUUAAGUCUUGCUUCUCUGGGCUACCAGCUCAGGAAACCUUACCAACCUGCUGCCUAAAGACUGCUCCUGCCUGAUUUCAUCUACCUUGCUUACCUGGAGCAUUUAUUGUCAAAAGCUCUCCUGACAGGAAACAUUCUGGAUGUCAUGAAGUAUCCACAGAGAUUAAUACGAUAUUUGUCACCAAAACAUCUCCCAAAACCAUUGUACUGAUUUCUGUGUCCUAGUUGUCCUGCAUCUGUUUCCAGCCUCAGACUAUUACCUUUUAGGUAAAGGGGCUGAUGUAACCAAACUGUCUCUUGGUGUCUAUUGCUUAAUAAUGUGGCUUCUACGUUGUUCAUGAGCAAAGGAAAUAACAUGGUGCUAUAAGGAUCCUAGGAAAAUGGGGACAGUCUGGGUUCUUUAUAUGACUUCAGGAUGCAUUUAAAAACCUUGUACUGCAUUCUUGAUGUAAAAUCGCCUUCUUGAAAGCAUUUAUUUUAUAAGUCACACUUUUCCCUCUCAGCAUAUAAAUAUACGUACAUGACAUGUACUAUGCAUGACAUACAUGAGAGAUUUUUGUCCCUAAAUAGGGAAAAUGUAGGUUGGUCUGUGUUUUCAUGAGCCUAUGUGUCCCAUCCACAGUAUCAGCUCUCACCCUAAUGAGCUGAAGCUACAUUAGCAAAAUCUCAGGCAGAUAAAUUGACAUUAAACCUUGGUUUGAUGAUCCUAGUAAGACAUUCAAUUAAUUCUAUUUUGCUACAAGCUAAUUUAUGACUUUGUGUUUAUGAAAAAAAAAAAAAAAAGUUGGAUGUACAAAUCAGUAGGAGACAAGGUAAUGAAUUAUUCUACCUUCCUUCAUGCUCUUGUCUUCACACUUCGCUAGUAUAAGAAUGGAAGAGGAAAUAUGAAAGAAAUGUCUUUUGAUGUAUGAAAUGUGGGUAUUUUCUCAUACUGUGCUGUAUCUAACUGGUGUAAACACAUAAUCAAGCCCUCUAGGAGAUGCUAAUUAGUGCAGUAAAUGUUAGUUUAUUAAUUGCCAUUACAUUUCUCUUUGUUUCACGAGCGAAUGUUUCUUUUCAGGAGAACAGAUUUGAUACGGUGCGUCUGUAGAAUUUGUUUGUGUUCAUGGCAAAUGAAGACAAGUAGCCUAGCAAAGCUGUGAUGAAUUAACAGCAGUCCAUGCGAUCAACGUUCCUGUAACGGAGUCCACAAAGUGCAUGGGCUUCUGUGUGAUCUGAGAAGAAAAACAACACAAAACAAAAAGCCCCAGAGGAUUUGAUAACAAUUUUCUGCUCUCUCUCUCUACUUGGUGUGUUUUUAAUGAGCCCUCCAAAAGCACAGGUAGUAAAACUUUCCCUUUUUGAUGUGGCAGAAUAUACUGCCAAGACAUACUGCAGGAGAGGUACUUCAAAGGCAAACAGCCAGCAAAUACAAUUACAUUAGGUGAGGCUGCUGGGUAUAAUUGAGUUCCUCCCAUCCUUGGAAAGUGAUAGAAGACAGUCCCUUAACAAUUCCUUCUUCCUGCUUCUCCAGCUUGUUGUUAUCAAUCAAUACUUUCCCUGUGAUGUUCACAUUUGUAAACUAUACCGUUAUCACAUGCAACGUUGCCUGUGUUGGGUACAGCGAGCCAAGAUUAUGCCUACUGAUAGAUAAUAUAGGGUCAAGUGAACAGUCCCCUGGUAUGCAGCAGUAGCGUGGGCUGUGGAGAAGGCAGAAGGAACAUCCAGGGGUCUGGAAGCCAUCCCUUCCCCUCUUGGGAGGUGGCCAAUAACUGCUGGAAAGGCUCCUGCAAGUGGGAUGCUGGUGCUUCUGGGAAGCAGUGGAGUGGGCUGUGUGUGUUGAAGCAGGUUGGUGACCCAGGAGGACCAAGGUGGGAAGUGAAUUUGCUGGGUGGAUCUAGAGCGUGGCUUGACUGAACUCUCAGGACCUAUUUUUAGACUUGGUAUGGGGAAAAAAGCUCUACAUGUUUUUUAUCACUUUGCUUGUGAAGCCAAAACAUAGGAGGAGGUUUUUUUCCUUGUGUUUGGAAUGUGAGCUUUUGUUUUGUUUUCAUGGACUUUUGGUUAAAACACAACUAAACCUAAAUAUCUCUUCAUAGUGCUUCCCCUGCUGAAUUAGCUCUACAAAGUCUUACAAUACAAAAAAAAAUUAAUAUCUUUCACCUAGACUUUUGAAAAUGCUUUUAAAUUGUUCUCUUUAAUUAUUUGCCUAGGUAAAUUUCAGUAGGCCACUGAAAAUAUGAGGCUAGAAUGCUCAUUUGAUCUUUAUCUUUGAGAAAAAAGUUGCUUUGCAAUCUCGUUGAAUAGCUUGAGUCCUUAACCCCAUUCAGGGCAGUUUCUAGUUUGCAUUUUUAUAAAAAUAACAAAUCCUAUGUCAGAAGCAUCUAGCUUGGACUUCUCUGGAUGUCUGUUGAAGAGUCAGGAUCCUUUUUGCUUCUUUCCACUAAGGUCUUUCCUCUGCGCUUCAUUUACUACACACGUCAAAAGCAGGCAUAGCUGACUCUCUUCUGGGACUCUGCAUGGCAUCACUGGGUGCUGCUGCUGCAGGUUUCCAUUUGCAUGAAGCCAUCGAUUUAUUUUCUGCUGAUAAAUAAUCAUAACUAGCAUAUAAAGAUAUAGUUCUGUGCUGACUGAAGCACUGAAUUAGAAGGUUCUGUCCAAAUGUUUCCAUGAUGAGUAAAAGAAAAAAAAAAUGGAACACCUUUUUAUUUUUCAGAUUAGAAAGAUUUAAAAAAAAAAAUCAUACUGUGGUGUUCAGUGUAUUGCUUCACCACAGCUCGAGCAAAAUUCCACCUUUUUAGUAAGUGGACUUUUUUGCUGGACUCUGGUGGCAGAAGUAUGGUAGAGGAUGGACCUAGCUUAGACAUUUGCUGGAAAUCUGGAGACAGAAACUGAUUUGUCCUCUGAGACACAAUCCAUAUAUGCAGAAUCUAUCUGAAUAAAUGAGCCCCUUACUUAACUGGGAACGUACUGUAUAUUCCAUCUGCAGACUGAAUGAUUGCUCCAUUUCAAGCCUCCUGACUCCCAUGGAGCCAUCUGGUACAUGCUAGUUUGUACGAAUAGGUGAGGAUUCCUGCUAACACAACAGCCUUCAACUAGGCAGAGUGCUGAUAUUUAGCACUCUGCUUCACAUCUGCGUACAAAGCUGUAACAAAAACCAAAACAUUUUCUGUCUUUAAUGUUUAAAUGAACCUUCCUUUUUCUCCUGGAAAUUCAAUUGGGACAGGAACAAUUAAUACAAUUACAUCAGAAAAUUGGUUGAGCUAUUAAUACAUCUAACUAAGCAGAGAUUUCAUGUUAUAUAGCAUCGUGAAUUUUUUUCCCUCAUUGCUUGCUUAGGGCUGAGCAGAAAGGAGGGUGGAAGAGGGGGAGAAGGUGUGUGUCAUACAGAUACUUUUAUAUCACUUUGAGAUAUUGUCGGAAAAUAAAGCUAAUGGAUAUAAUUAAUGUCUGUAAGCAGCAGCAGCCCGGUCAUAGGGCUUAUUAAUAGAUAUGUAAAGGCUGCAUCAUUUUUGGCUGCCCUGCUGUGCACAAGAUGUCUAUAUGGCAUUGGCAGUCUGAGGCUCAGCACCACAGAGAAGGUGCCUCGGUGGCAGCUGUAUCACUCCAAAGGAUUUUAGUGAAAGUGGAUGGAACAAGUUGAAUAGGGGAAAAAGGGAAGUGGACUAAAAGGCAAAGGCUGCCUGUUUUAUUCUCUGGCACCCAGAUCUACAGACAUAUUUAAGACACCUAAGACAUAGCUGAGGAGACCUGUGUGCUCUUUGAAAAUUUAAAAAGAAUAAAGUGACAUCAGAUCCCUCUUUUCCCCCAGAGGCCCCCAGAGCCUGGAGGGGAAGAAGGCCAGGAGGACUUUUCAGCUGCUCUGUCAAAUGUGCUGCUGUCCUGGCCUGGUGUCCCUCCUGCCUCUGGAGACUGUAGGGAGCUCUCAGCUCAGAAAAGUCCCACCGCACCUUGUUCUCUACAGAGUUUUUGCAGUGUAUAGGCUACUUUGGCUUAAUCUGGGGUGAGAACUUGCAUCUGUAGUAGACACCUAUCUGGGUUUGGUUUGACUCUAUUUAUUUAUUCAUUUAUACAUUGGAAACAAUGGUGGAUCUUUCCAAUAAAAGUAUAAUUUUUCAGCCACUCGUUCUAGCUCCAGCUUCUGAUGCAUUCUGACUAAAGAGGAAUCAAUGUGAAUAGUGCAAGGACUUGUGUUUUCCUGUAACAGGAUGGAGUGAUUUCUCAUGUAGUGUUACAGUAAUGACCAACGUGACACAGAAGGAAAAUUCUGUGACAAUAUGACGACAGUGAUUGUGAAGAGAAGCUGCUGAAUUAAUGUAACCAAUUGACAUGAGAUAAAUGCUUUCUGACCAUCCACAGAAUGAGGGGAUAUUUUUCAAGUUUUAGAUCUUUCUGCAUGACAAGAGGGAGACGGAAGAUUAAGUGAUACACUGUUUAGAAGCAGAGUGCUCAGUUUACAUUUAACUAAUAAUAGAUGUGUUGUAAGUAAGAAACUAAGCAAUUGUACCUAACAUCAUCAAUUAUUUCUUAGUAUAGUUGUAUUGUAUGUCAAAAUUUUCAAAAAUUGUAAUGCGUAUGUGAUAAUUGUGUGAAUAUAAGAAACGCAAGAGCAUCCAGUCACUGGAGCACUUAUGGAGAAUGAUCCUCAGUGUUCCCCAGUGCUGAUAAAAUAAAGAAUGCCACUCAACAGUAAAACUGACUCUGCUCUUAAGUUUAUUUCUUCAUUUCAACUGGACGUGUGUGAUGUAAAAGGUGCCAUCUUUCCUCAUGUAGUCUAAGAGCACAUGGUUAUGUUGGGGGAAGGCAUUGACAAAACUUACGCUUCACUUGUUUCUAACCUAAUGCAACAUCUUGACUCUCACUGGCCUCUCCUCCUCCAUCUCAAACCAGCAACAAAAAAUAUUUUUCUCAUGUAUAUUGUGUCUGCUGGUAUUGAGGAUUUUUUUCCAAAAGUCUUUAAAAAAGACAGCAUGCAGGAGGAACUUGCGAAAUCCUGCAAGUUAUAGGCUUGUCUGGGCCUUUCUGUAUUAUGAUACAAACCCCAAAGGAAUAGAAGAGAAAUGACAACUAGCUUUCAUGUGAUAUUGUGGCUGCCCUUAGGAGAUGAACAGUGAAAUAUGUGACUUUUGAAGAGAAACAUACGUAAUAGAGAGGCAGAAGGCUUAGAUGUAUCAGUGUGAGUAUAUGGGGAAAGAGAAAUCUGAACACAGUGCGGUUUGGUAUUCACAGCUCAUUUCUCCUUUCUGGGACAGAAAGGUCAGAGAAACACGAUACUUCCUCUUAAGCAGCAUUGCCAAAACCAGACAAGCAAGUGGGACUAACUGGUUUCCUCUAACUCCAGGGAGAGACCUGUGUUUGCUGCCUACCAGCUAUUCCAGCAAACCAAAAACCCUGUGAUGUGUCCUCUUGGUAACAGCAGCUGAGUGAAUAGAAGGUGUUAUAAGAAAAAGAGUUUGUGUCUCCCCAUGACUUGGUCCCCUAGGAGGGAAUUUAAUAAAAAUGGUAGAGCUGCCUCCUUCUGCCAGGACAUCUGCAUUUUGUGUGGUGGAGGUGCUUAUGCCAGCCCUGGUAUAGUGUCAUGGACUUCCUAAGGGCCAUUGCUGGGUGUCUUUGUGUGGUUAUGGUGGAAGCGAUCCUGGAUGUUUUCAGAAGCAAGGUUCUUUUAAGAGUGUUUCUGUGUCAAAAGUGCAAGGGUUCGUGGAUGUUCUGCGAGGUUCUCUAAGUGCAUAUAGGUACACAAAAAUAGGAAGCAGACACCGUCUCUCAAGAAAACAGGUACAACACUGUGCAGAUUCUUUUACACUCUGCCAGCCAUCCCUUGGACAUGUUGAGUCAUGGAUCAUUCUACACAAGUAUGUGGAAAGAAAGAAAUCAAAACUAGCUAAACAACUUGAAUUUGAGGUGGAUUGAUUAAAUUGCAUUAAGUCCCUGUGUAGAUGUUCUUGUUCAGAAUUAAAAUAAGAUAAGCCACAUAAAGGCCAAGUUAAUUCUGAGUAAGAUAAGUCUCAUAAAGGCUAAGUUAAUUCUGAAGGAGAAUAUGUACAUAGAGAUUUAAUGCAUUUUUAACUAAUCCAUUUUAGCAGUUAAUUCAGAUUAACCGUACUCAGUGUUCCUCUCUGGGAAAGCCCUUCAAGGGAACAAGACAAGGUAAAAUGCGAGGCUCAGAAAUGCAAUGUUUUUAAAGAUCCAGCACUGUCAAUUACAAAGCAGAUAAUUACCACCGCGGUAUUCCUGAGUUGAAUGGCUGCACCCAGAAUGACCCAUGUUAGUGCUGUCAGAGGCAGCAGCGGUCCUGCGAAGGACUCGCCAAGGGCAUCCUUGCUUCCAGAAAGGUGGUGUAGGAAACAGUGUGGUGUGCCAUUGAAGCAAGGGCUAACUCACUGCUAUGAGGAAUUUCGAUGGUUAAGGAGACUUCUGUGAUAGCAAAACGCAUCCUCCUCACGAUGAGUGUGGAGCUGGCUGAUACCUGUGCCUGCUCAUUGUUGGUGUGCAAGGGAGGCAGGAUGCAGUGUGAAUCUUAAUGGUUCGUAUCCUACCUGGAGUGAUGUAUUCUUGGCCCAAAUACUAUCUUUGCUCCCGUGUGUAAACCAAACGUUGCUUAGCCCUGUGCAGUCUCUUCUUUAGCUUAAAAAGCCAAAAUGUGGAGUUUAAACUUUAUUAUUGAUUUUAAAAAUUUAUUGUGAGCAAUAACUUAAAGGGAAACAGGAGGUUACGAAUAAAUAAUAAGGUGCAUAGGUGUACAGGGAAAAUACAGCAGUCCAUAAAUAUGGUUAAGAACUCAGCUGUACAGUAAAAAGAAGGGGUAUAAAAAUGUAGACAACUAAAGCAAUAUGUGUGCAGAAGAAUAAUAAUCUACCAUGAAUUAAAAUAUGCAAGUAUUGGGGACUAAGUUGCUUUUACUACUCUAUACAUUUUUUUUAAGUACCUAGAGGCCUUCAGGUAUGAGUGCUAAAAUAAAAAUAUUAUUAUUAUGGAUUUUGAGGGGCAGAUGAGUUGGAACUCAAGGAUGUCCCCUGUGCCUUAGCUCUGUUUCAUGUAGUUAAAUGCUUUGGGCCAAAUUUAUCCCUGGUCUGCUAUAUUUACUGUUGAAAGCACUUCAGAAAAGUGUAUAUUAAAGCUAUAUCUAAAGAAGCACUGAAUUCUGAACAGACAUCCAAAACAAGGCAAUAAAAUCAAAGAUGUUCUCUCAGGUCAUUUUAGUUUUGGGUGAGGGAAGCAAUUGCUCAAUCACAUCGGUCCAGUGAAUCUGAAACAACAGUGUGUGAAAAACAUGGUGGCAAAAUAAUGUCUCCAUGUGGGACAAGUGCUAACGCUAAUCACUGGCAAGGCUGUUUCUCGGUUUUUACUCAUGGAUUUUAUCCUAAUUUUUUCACUGAUUGCUCUUCUUCCCCAGUGACCCCUAAGGUAACUUUUCUCCCUGUUUCACAGGGAAAUUUGAGGCCAAAGUUUUUGCUGCAUUAUGAAGUUCAUGUAGGAAAAUUAUUCAUAGUGCCCAUGUGCAGCAGCCUGCAAAGCAGUGGUGAUUUUCAUGCAGACAAUGAAAAGCUAGGGCUGAGCCUUGGAAGAUGACAUCAAGGCUGCAGUAUAUCUGUAUCUGCAGCCUAAGAGGCACCCUGAGCACACCUGUAGCAGCAAGUGUGUUUUGCCACUGUCAGUGUCAGAGAUGGCUUGGGCAAUAGUAUGGUAAU
Long non-coding RNA from Columba livia (rock pigeon), 19193 nucleotides. RefSeq lists it as uncharacterized. The transcript is spliced from 3 exons. NCBI's taxonomy places the organism in Eukaryota, Metazoa, Chordata, Aves, Columbiformes, Columbidae. The record is from RefSeq and is a predicted model, not a curated record.